GGUUAAGCGACUAAGCGUACACGGUGGAUGCCCUGGCAGUCAGAGGCGAUGAAGGACGUGCUAAUCUGCGAUAAGCGUCGGUAAGGUGAUAUGAACCGUUAUAACCGGCGAUUUCCGAAUGGGGAAACCCAGUGUGUUUCGACACACUAUCAUUAACUGAAUCCAUAGGUUAAUGAGGCGAACCGGGGGAACUGAAACAUCUAAGUACCCCGAGGAAAAGAAAUCAACCGAGAUUCCCCCAGUAGCGGCGAGCGAACGGGGAGCAGCCCAGAGCCUGAAUCAGUGUGUGUGUUAGUGGAAGCGUCUGGAAAGGCGCGCGAUACAGGGUGACAGCCCCGUACACAAAAAUGCACAUAUUGUGAGCUCGAUGAGUAGGGCGGGACACGUGGUAUCCUGUCUGAAUAUGGGGGGACCAUCCUCCAAGGCUAAAUACUCCUGACUGACCGAUAGUGAACCAGUACCGUGAGGGAAAGGCGAAAAGAACCCCGGCGAGGGGAGUGAAAAAGAACCUGAAACCGUGUACGUACAAGCAGUGGGAGCACGCUUAGGCGUGUGACUGCGUACCUUUUGUAUAAUGGGUCAGCGACUUAUAUUCUGUAGCAAGGUUAACCGAAUAGGGGAGCCGAAGGGAAACCGAGUCUUAACUGGGCGUUAAGUUGCAGGGUAUAGACCCGAAACCCGGUGAUCUAGCCAUGGGCAGGUUGAAGGUUGGGUAACACUAACUGGAGGACCGAACCGACUAAUGUUGAAAAAUUAGCGGAUGACUUGUGGCUGGGGGUGAAAGGCCAAUCAAACCGGGAGAUAGCUGGUUCUCCCCGAAAGCUAUUUAGGUAGCGCCUCGUGAAUUCAUCUCCGGGGGUAGAGCACUGUUUCGGCAAGGGGGUCAUCCCGACUUACCAACCCGAUGCAAACUGCGAAUACCGGAGAAUGUUAUCACGGGAGACACACGGCGGGUGCUAACGUCCGUCGUGAAGAGGGAAACAACCCAGACCGCCAGCUAAGGUCCCAAAGUCAUGGUUAAGUGGGAAACGAUGUGGGAAGGCCCAGACAGCCAGGAUGUUGGCUUAGAAGCAGCCAUCAUUUAAAGAAAGCGUAAUAGCUCACUGGUCGAGUCGGCCUGCGCGGAAGAUGUAACGGGGCUAAACCAUGCACCGAAGCUGCGGCAGCGACGCUGAUGCGUUGUUGGGUAGGGGAGCGUUCUGUAAGCCUGCGAAGGUGUGCUGUGAGGCAUGCUGGAGGUAUCAGAAGUGCGAAUGCUGACAUAAGUAACGAUAAAGCGGGUGAAAAGCCCGCUCGCCGGAAGACCAAGGGUUCCUGUCCAACGUUAAUCGGGGCAGGGUGAGUCGACCCCUAAGGCGAGGCCGAAAGGCGUAGUCGAUGGGAAACAGGUUAAUAUUCCUGUACUUGGUGUUACUGCGAAGGGGGGACGGAGAAGGCUAUGUUGGCCGGGCGACGGUUGUCCCGGUUUAAGCGUGUAGGCUGGUUUUCCAGGCAAAUCCGGAAAAUCAAGGCUGAGGCGUGAUGACGAGGCACUACGGUGCUGAAGCAACAAAUGCCCUGCUUCCAGGAAAAGCCUCUAAGCAUCAGGUAACAUCAAAUCGUACCCCAAACCGACACAGGUGGUCAGGUAGAGAAUACCAAGGCGCUUGAGAGAACUCGGGUGAAGGAACUAGGCAAAAUGGUGCCGUAACUUCGGGAGAAGGCACGCUGAUAUGUAGGUGAAGUCCCUCGCGGAUGGAGCUGAAAUCAGUCGAAGAUACCAGCUGGCUGCAACUGUUUAUUAAAAACACAGCACUGUGCAAACACGAAAGUGGACGUAUACGGUGUGACGCCUGCCCGGUGCCGGAAGGUUAAUUGAUGGGGUCAGCGCAAGCGAAGCUCUUGAUCGAAGCCCCGGUAAACGGCGGCCGUAACUAUAACGGUCCUAAGGUAGCGAAAUUCCUUGUCGGGUAAGUUCCGACCUGCACGAAUGGCGUAAUGAUGGCCAGGCUGUCUCCACCCGAGACUCAGUGAAAUUGAACUCGCUGUGAAGAUGCAGUGUACCCGCGGCAAGACGGAAAGACCCCGUGAACCUUUACUAUAGCUUGACACUGAACAUUGAGCCUUGAUGUGUAGGAUAGGUGGGAGGCUUUGAAGUGUGGACGCCAGUCUGCAUGGAGCCGACCUUGAAAUACCACCCUUUAAUGUUUGAUGUUCUAACGUGGACCCGUAAUCCGGGUUGCGGACAGUGUCUGGUGGGUAGUUUGACUGGGGCGGUCUCCUCCUAAAGAGUAACGGAGGAGCACGAAGGUUGGCUAAUCCUGGUCGGACAUCAGGAGGUUAGUGCAAUGGCAUAAGCCAGCUUGACUGCGAGCGUGACGGCGCGAGCAGGUGCGAAAGCAGGUCAUAGUGAUCCGGUGGUUCUGAAUGGAAGGGCCAUCGCUCAACGGAUAAAAGGUACUCCGGGGAUAACAGGCUGAUACCGCCCAAGAGUUCAUAUCGACGGCGGUGUUUGGCACCUCGAUGUCGGCUCAUCACAUCCUGGGGCUGAAGUAGGUCCCAAGGGUAUGGCUGUUCGCCAUUUAAAGUGGUACGCGAGCUGGGUUUAGAACGUCGUGAGACAGUUCGGUCCCUAUCUGCCGUGGGCGCUGGAGAACUGAGGGGGGCUGCUCCUAGUACGAGAGGACCGGAGUGGACGCAUCACUGGUGUUCGGGUUGUCAUGCCAAUGGCACUGCCCGGUAGCUAAAUGCGGAAGAGAUAAGUGCUGAAAGCAUCUAAGCACGAAACUUGCCCCGAGAUGAGUUCUCCCUGACUCCUUGAGAGUCCUGAAGGAACGUUGAAGACGACGACGUUGAUAGGCUGGGUGUGUAAGCGCAGCGAUGCGUUGAGCUAACCGGUACUAAUGAACCGUGAGGCUUAACCUU
Molecule: ribosomal RNA, 2904 nt
Filed under: Escherichia coli
Lineage: Bacteria; Pseudomonadati; Pseudomonadota; Gammaproteobacteria; Enterobacterales; Enterobacteriaceae
Description: 23S ribosomal RNA
Rfam family: Bacterial large subunit ribosomal RNA
Source: RNAcentral